RNAcentral lists this ribosomal RNA (442 nucleotides) under uncultured bacterium. RNAcentral's name for it is "partial 16S ribosomal RNA". It matches the Rfam family "Bacterial small subunit ribosomal RNA", at positions 338 to 795 of the family's 1533-position model. The record is from RNAcentral.
CCUACGGGAGGCAGCAGUAGGGAAUCUUUCACAAUGGGCGAAAGCCUGAUGGAGCAACGCCGCGUGCAGGAUGAAGGCCUUCGGGUUGUAAACUGCUUUUAUAAGCGAGAAAUAUGAUGGUAACUUAUGAAUAAGGAUCGGCUAACUACGUGCCAGCAGCCGCGGUCAUACGUAGGAUCCGAGCAUUAUCCGGGGUGACUGGGUGUAAAGAGUUGCGUAGGUGGCAUAAUAAGUAGCUAGUGGAAUCUGGUGGCUCAACCAUUCAGACUAUUAGCUAAACUGGUAAGCUCGAGACCGUUAGGGGUAACUAGAAUUGCUAGUGUAGGAGUGAAAUCCGUAGAUAUUAGGAGGAACACCAAUAGCGUAGGCAGGUUGCUGGGACGGUUCUGACACUAAGGCACGAAAGCGUAGGGAGCAAACGGGAUUAGAUACCCGGGUAGUC